Molecule: ribosomal RNA, 497 nt
Filed under: uncultured bacterium
Lineage: Bacteria
Description: partial 16S ribosomal RNA
Rfam family: Bacterial small subunit ribosomal RNA
Source: RNAcentral
GACGAACGCUGGCGGCGUGCCUAAUACAUGCAAGUUGAGCGCUGAAGGUUGGUACUUGUACCAACUGGAUGAGCAGCGAACGGGUGAGUAACGCGUGGGGAAUCUGCCUUUGAGCGGGGGACAACAUUUGGAAACGAAUGCUAAUACCGCAUAAAAACUUUAAACACAAGUUUUAAGUUUGAAAGAUGCAAUUGCAUCACUCAAAGAUGAUCCCGCGUUGUAUUAGCUAGUUGGUGAGGUAAAGGCUCACCAAGGCGAGGAUACAUAGCCGACCUGAGAGGGUGGUCGGCCGGACUGGGACUGAGACACGGCCCAAACUCCUACGGGAGGCAGCAGUAGGGAAUCUUCGGCAAUGGACGAAAGUCUGACCGAGCAACGCCGCGUGAGUGAAGAAGGAUUUCGGAUCGUAAAACUCUGUUGGUAGGGAAGAACGUUGGUGAGAGUGGAAAGCUCAUCAAGUGACGGUAACUACCCAGAAAGGGACGGCUAACUACGUG